Molecule: transfer RNA, 63 nt
Filed under: Varanus salvadorii
Lineage: Eukaryota; Metazoa; Chordata; Lepidosauria; Squamata; Varanidae
Description: tRNA-Ser
Source: RNAcentral
AAGAAGGCCCUACCGGAGCUGCUAACUCACGGACCUUAGGAUUAAACCCCUAAACUUCUUGCU